CCUACGGGAGGCAGCAGUGGGGAAUAUUGGACAAUGGGCGAAAGCCUGAUCCAGCAAUGCCGCGUGAGUGAAGAAGGCCUUCGGGUUGUAAAGCUCUUUUACCCGGGAAGAUAAUGACUGUACCGGGAGAAUAAGCCCCGGCUAACUCCGUGCCAGCAGCCGCGGUAAUACGGAGGGGGCUAGCGUUGUUCGGAAUUACUGGGCGUAAAGCGUACGUAGGCGGCUUUGUAAGUCAGAGGUGAAAGCCCACGACUCAAUCGUGGAACUGCCUUUGAGACUGCUUCGCUUGAAGAUGGGAGAGGUUAGUGGAAUUCCGAGUGUAGAGGUGAAAUUCGUAGAUAUUCGGAAGAACACCAGUGGCGAAGGCGGCUAACUGGACCAUUCUUGACGCUGAGGUACGAAAGCGUGGGGAGCAAACAGGAUUAGAUACCCUGGUAGUCCACGCCGUAAACGAUGAUAACUAGCUGUCGGGGCUCUUGGAGCUUCGGUGGCGCGGCUAACGCAUUAAGUUAUCCGCCUGGGGAGUACGGCCGCAGGUUAAAACUCAAAGGAAUUGACGGCUGAGACGNGCGAGCGACGACGAGGGAGUUAGG
This 593-nucleotide ribosomal RNA is filed under the name uncultured bacterium. RNAcentral's name for it is "bacterial SSU rRNA". It matches the Rfam family "Bacterial small subunit ribosomal RNA", at positions 338 to 950 of the family's 1533-position model. The record is from RNAcentral.